AGCUAUAUAUUAAAGAGAUUUAUUUAUAUAAAUAGGUUUGCUAGCUGAUUGUGUAUAUACGCAGGCCAAUGCUUCUAAUUUCAUAGCAAGCUCGCUUGCUAUGAAAUAGGCAACCAGUAAUAUAAGCAAGUGUGUGCUAUUUAUAGCGCUAGCCUACAAACCUAUAAUUAUAUUAACUCUAAGAGAAAUUUAAUAAUAAACGAAGUGAAUUGAAAUAUCUUAGUAACUUUAGGAAAAGAAAUCAAAAGAGAUUCUAUGAUUAGCGUGAGCUAAAAUAGACUAGCCUAAAAAGUCAAAUGGUGGAUAAACUGUUUAAAUUAAAUGGGGAACCUUCCUCAAAGGCUAAAUAUAAUGUAUAAGCGAUAGUGGAAAGUACCGUGAGGGAACCAAAACAAAAACAGUGAUUUUAUAAGCAGUUCGGGAAAAUAAAAAAAAGUUAGAACGUACCUUUUGCAUAAUGGGUCACCAAGUUAACAUUAGAUGCGAGUAGGAGGCUUUGCCCAUACAUACGUAGUUAAACCGAGCGUUAAAAUAACGGUAAGUAUCUAAAGUUAGACCCGAAGCCUGGUGAUUUUACCAUAAUCAGGAUUAUAAAAGUCCGAACGGAAUAUUGUAGCAUAAAUAUCCGAAGAAUUAUGGUAGGUGUAGUGAAAGACAAUACUGACCAGGAUAGCUGGUUUUCUGCGAAACCUAUAACAGUAGGCAAUUUAAGUAUAAUAUCUUAGCAGGUACAGAAUUUAAUCUCAGACAAGACAUAAGGCUUAGCUUGCUAGCAAGUAAAGCUCAUGUUUUAUUUUGUACAAAUUGGGGGAUCAUGAAGAUUUUAUCAGUGAGUAUGUAGACUCGGAAUGGCAAAGAUAUAUCUUAAAUCAUCAGACAUAGAAUGAUAAGGUUGUAUGUCAAAAGGGAAACAGCCCAGAACAAGAGUUAAGGUUCCUAAAUUAUUAGUUGAGUGAAAUUAAGAAGGUUUUUAUUAAAGUCGACAAGGAGAUAGGCUUAGAAGCAGCCAUAAUUUUAUGACCUCGUAACAGAGCGCUUGUUAAGUUUUAAAAGCAUCGAAAAUUUAUCGGAUCUAAACAAUAUACCGAAACCUUGUCCAUAUUAUUUUAUAAUUAAAGCUUAAUUAUAAUUAAAUGGGGUAGCAGAACGUUGAGCUAAAUUAAGAUUUUUAUUUUUUAAAUGAAAUUAUAAUAAUUUAACUCAAGUGAUAAUGGUGACAUGAGUAACUAAAAGAAAAAAUAAAAUUUUUCCGCCUAAAGCUUAUGGAUGUAAUUAAGUAACGGCCUCUAAGUUUAUAUUAUCUAAAGAUUUAAACGAUGAGAUAAUCUUUUGUACUAAGGACGACAUUUUAAGUGAAAAAUGUACUGGAAAAAUAGUACUAAAUUAAUGGGUAUAGCUAAUUAGUUAGCUAUAGCUAUAAAUGAAAAGUAACCGUACCUAGAAUCUGAAACAAGUAAGCUAGUAGAGAAUACGAAGGCGUAAAUGAGCUAACAAUCAUAAAGGAACUCGGCAAAUUGACUACCGUAACUUCGGGAUAAGGAGAGCUCAUUAUUCUUGAUUAAUAUCAGGUAAAGAGGAAGAAGCAUAAAAUAGUGUUGUACGACUGUUUAAUUAAAACACAGCACUUUGCUGAAAGAUUAAAAAUCUAAGUAUAGAGUGUGAUGUCUGCCCGGUGCCGGCUGGUUAACAGAUAUAAUUAAAUAUACUAAUAUUUGAUGUAGACGGAAACCCCGGUUAAAGGCGGCCUUAACGUGAGGGUCCUAAGGUAGCGAAAUGCCUUGGCCGUUAAAUGCGGUCUUGCAUGAAUGAUGUAACGAUACAACAGCUGUCUCUAUGAUUGACUCAGUGAAAUUGGAAUAGCUGUGCAGAUACAGUUUACCUCUAGUUAGACGAGAAGACCCUAUGCAGCUUUACUGUCACUAAUUAUAGAGUAUGAUAAACAAUUUUCAGAUUAUAAGGUAAUUGACGGCUAGCUUGUUCAGCAAGCUAGCUCUAUGACAAUGAGAAUCCUUUAUUUUUUUUUCAUAUGAAUGAAUUGGUUUAGGAUUAUGAGUAGGUAGCGGCUUCUGCUACUUGGCGUAAGCAUUGCUUGCGUUAGGUGUCUGAAGUAUGCAUUCCAGCUCAUGCAUAGUAAAUCAACCUAAUUCAGCUUAUUUUCCUUUCUGCCAUAAGCGCAUAAUGAUAGAUUUAACUUAAAUUUUGAUUUAUGCCAGCUGCAGAAAUAGAUAAGUACCCUUGGCUAAGGAACUAUCGCUAGGGGACAGUUUAUGUGGGGCACAGACCCUGUAAAGAGUAAACAGGAGUGUCUAAUAAUUUAUAAUUAUUUUGUUUGCGAUUUAAGAUAGUGAAACUAUUUUUAAUCAUAUAAAAUUAUUUAUAUGUACAUUCGUUGUAUAUAUAUUUAAAAAAAGGUAGGAUUUUCACUAUAUAGAAAUUAGAGAUAAUAAAAAUAUUAAGAAUAUACGUUUCAGGCUGGGAGGGGGAAGCUCCUCCCUUUGAAAGGUAGCACUAAUAUUUUUUAGCUAUUAAGACAGGCUAUCAAGCUAGGCUCUAAUAGUUAUGUAUUAAUUAUCUAAAAAGCUCAACGGCUAAAUCUUGCCUUACUGUUUGAUUAUCAACAAAUCUUACAGUUGCGUAAGCAGGGCAUAGGAUCACAAGAUGCAACAAGGAAAGAUCUUGGAUUAUUGGAAAAGCUACGCUAGGGAUAACAGGCUAAUUUGCGCAAGAGUGUACAAAAUGAGUGCGCGGUUUGGCACCUCGAUGUCGGCUUAACUUAUCCUCAUGGAUGCAGGAACUAUGUAGGGUGCGACUGUUCGUCGAUUAAAAAGUUACAUGAGCUGGGUUAAAUACGUCGUGAGACAGUAUGGUUUCUAUCUUCUAGGGGGAAUUAGAAUAUAAUAAGAACUAACUUUUGUACGAAAGGAACAAGAAGAAUUUAAUUUGUAAAAGGGUUAAAUAAUAGUUACUAACCUAUGGUUUACCUGUUGUCUAUGUGCCCAAAUAUUAAAAUAUAUAUGGAGGAAGCUCCUUAAGAGCUUCCCCCGCAAAUUAUAUAUAUCUGUAUAGCUAGCCUGCGGACUCCGGUUAUGCCUGAGUUUGGCAAGCUAAAGCUAUACAUAGGGAUGUUUCUUUCACUAAGAUAAAUAUAUAGCAUAGGCACGGCAGGAAAGCUAAGUUGGUUAAGGAUAAGUGCUGAAAGCAUAUAGGCACGAAGCUUAUCUUAAGAUAUUUCUUAAAUAUACGUAAAAUAUUAUUACGAAGGAUGUAAUAUAGGCUUUAUCCGUACGAAUCAGGAGAUUUUUAAGAAUAAAGUACUAAUUUUAUAAAUAACUAUUUAU
RNAcentral lists this ribosomal RNA (3338 nucleotides) under Fusarium oxysporum f. sp. niveum. It matches the Rfam family "Bacterial large subunit ribosomal RNA". Lineage: Eukaryota; Fungi; Ascomycota; Sordariomycetes; Hypocreales; Nectriaceae. The record is from RNAcentral.